This 2427-nucleotide unclassified non-coding RNA is filed under the name Hevea brasiliensis (rubber tree). Lineage: Eukaryota; Viridiplantae; Streptophyta; Magnoliopsida; Malpighiales; Euphorbiaceae. The record is from RNAcentral.
CUUGAGAGUAGUGGCCUAACAAGGAGAAUGAGCAAUGAAAGUUUUCCCGAAUAAUAAAUUCGGGCCAAACAGUGCCUUUUAGACCCAAACGCAUGCAAGUGAAUUGGGUUCACAAGUCCAACCACUAGAAUCGUUGCCUGUCCUUAAUUCAGGCUGUAAGGCAAGGUUAAAGACGUGAAGGCCGAAACCCCAAUGCUUAUCUGCUCUACGUCUGGUGUGGUAGCAGUCAGAGAACGCAAUUAAAAAAACGACUGGUAGGAUGGGAAGCGCACCGGCACAAAUUCCGACUAGUUUUGGCCAUGAACUGAGGGCGUGUCUUCGUUGCCGCCUCGUCAAAACCUACGAUCAGGGGAUACGUUUCUGUUCCAGUUCAGAGAGUCCGGGUGCGAGAAUUGCCCCUUCUUUAAGAUGGAUGAAGAUCAUGAGCGUGUCGUAGAUUGCACCACUCCUAACUUCAAUGGGUAUUUUCUAAUUUCUUUUUUAUAUAUGUCUUCUGUCAUUGUGGCGAAGCAUUGCGUUCAAUUGCACUGUUCUUAACUUUAAUGGUAAUCAAAUGUGGGUAGUUGAGCUAGUGCCUUAUAUGUUUCCUGUUUUGUGAAUGCUGAUGUUUUCUUCAAAACAUUCAAAUUCCAAGCUCAAUGUGACCUUUACAGCAAAUUGAUUGUUAAAUUUGGUAACUGCAUUCUUCAUCGCUGAAUGCUUUGCUUCCUAGGAUAAUUUCUGUCAUGGACCCAAGUAGAAGCUGGGCCGCUCGUUGGUUGAGAAUCGGUAUGAGUUCAACAGUUAUAUUGCUUACGCGUUUCUCGUGCCAUCUUAUUUCUUUUAUUUCCCUUUUUUGGCUCUCUUUUUGAGAUGCAUCGAGCUAAUUCUUGUUCAUUUUUCUACCUUAUUUCUUGCCCUUGUGAACUUCCUUGCAUAUGAACACGCUGUUGUUAUUGCAGGCUCUAUGCAUUAUGGUCUUAAAUAGGGGGUGUAUAUGAGUUGAGAUACUCAAAAUCAGUUUGCAAAAUAUUCAAAUUUGACUUGUUAUUAAUUGAAAUGAGUCAAGCUCCAGGAUUAUCGUGCUUGAGUUGAGUGGCUUGUGGGUUCAAUCCAGCACUUAUAUUUUUUGUAUAAUUUUAUUAUAUUAAGUAAUAAUGUAUGAGUUCAAGCUCACUUGAGUUUGUUGUAACUUUAAUUCUACAUUAAUACAUAAGUUCAUUGAAAUUUUUAAUGGUGCUCAAGUCAAAUCAAGCUUUGAGUGUUUCUUGUAUCCCACUGAGUUGAUUUCAAGUAUGAAAAAUUAUAUUUAAUUGACAUCACGUUUGUUUAUAGUAUUGCAAUUUGAACAUUUAGAAUUUGAAUAUGGGUCUAUGUGAGCAAAGGUUGUCUUUCAUUUUAUUUUAUUCCCUUCUUUGGUCUAAUAGUCCCAUAUACUUCACUUUUUAUUGUGUGCCACAAGUUACAAGUAUGAGGAAUAUUGGGGGCAUUCUAUUUAUUAUCUGUGACAGGGUGACCAUUUUUCUGAAUACAUGCAAAAACAAAGAUAUGCACACAAUACUUAAAACUUCUUAGGGCAUAAUUUGACACCAGCAUCAAGGGCUGAUACUUCAGCACUUGAAUACUCUCUUCCCCAUCUUGGAAUGCUGUCAUUUUGAUGUGUUGGACCCGUGCACCUCUGUUGUGUCAGGCCAUUAAUCCUCUUUGCUCAGAUUUUUUUUUUUAAUCUUUGUCAGGACGAUUUGUCCCUGGUUGUUACACUCUUGCUGUCUCAGAGGCACUGCCAGAGGACUUACAGAAUUUAUGCGAAGAUGAACGAGUCCAAUACAUUCCACCAAAACGUGUAUAAGUGACCAGUUGGCAUAGUUUUGUCGAUCAUGUUAUAAGGUUGCAAGAUGUUCUCUUCGCUGGUUACUAAUAAAGCCUCUUCUUUUAAUAUUUGAUACUUGUAUGAAGGUACUAAACGUGUCUGAUACUAAUGUUGAAGCUUGAUUUGUGACUGGACAUUGACUUAUUAAGAACUCUUUAAAAAAAUGGAAAGCUGAAUCAGCCAUUUAUAUUUGUCCUCUUCAUAGCUAACAAGUUAAAGUUUAUGGAGGUCCAUGUAGUGUUACUGUUUAUUGUGAGGACUCUUGUGGUGCUAUAAACUGUGGCAUUUGAAGUGGAAUUCCAAUCUCUAACAAUGAGAUUGUCCUCGUAGUGGCUACUGGCUAAGGUAACCUUUCUCUGAAAAUUGUUCUGCCCGGCUAAGAGGUGUGUGUGGCAUUUUUGCAAGAAAAACAAAUUGGUUGAAAUGCCAGGCGGUGUUGCCAAAUGCUAAUGUAGAAUGUAGAAGGGAGACAUGAGUCCGUGCAAUUGUAAAAGAAGUAAUGCACAUAAGCUAUGAGAUGCAAUUGAUCAUUUUUUUUGGCAAUAAUUAUACCAAAUUGUGAUAUAUAAAUUCAGGGU